GGCCAGACUCCUACGGGAGGCAGCAGUAAGGGAUAUUGGUCAAUGGGGGAAACCCUGAACCAGCAACGCCGCGUGAGGGAAGACGGUUUUCGGAUUGUAAACCUCUGUCCUCUGUGAAGAUGAUGACGGUAGCAGAGGAGGAAGCUCCGGCUAACUACGUGCCAGCAGCCGCGGUAAUACGUAGGGAGCGAGCGUUGUCCGGAUUUAUUGGGUUUAAAGGGUGCGCAGGCGGAAGAUCAAGUCAGCGGUAAAAUGGGGAGGCUCAACCUCUUCGAGCCGUUGAAACUGGUUUUCUUGAGUUGGAGAGAAGUAUGCGGAAUGCGCGGUGUAGCGGUGAAAUGCAUAGAUAUCGCGCAGAACUCCGAUUGCGAAGGCAGCAUGCCGGCUCCACACUGACGCUGAGGCACGAAAGCGUGGGUAUCGAACAGGAUUAGAUACCCGAGUA
RNAcentral lists this ribosomal RNA (445 nucleotides) under uncultured bacterium. RNAcentral describes it as "bacterial SSU rRNA". It matches the Rfam family "Bacterial small subunit ribosomal RNA", at positions 329 to 792 of the family's 1533-position model. The record is from RNAcentral.